RNAcentral lists this long non-coding RNA (311 nucleotides) under Lathyrus oleraceus (garden pea). RNAcentral's name for it is "Pisum sativum (pea) long non-coding RNA (PSAT_LNC016571)". The record is from RNAcentral. Lineage: Eukaryota; Viridiplantae; Streptophyta; Magnoliopsida; Fabales; Fabaceae.
UACUUUCAAAUAAAAUAAUAUGUUCCUUGAAAUUAAAUAAACAAAACAUUGCAUUUCAUGCAUCAUUUGCAUAACAGGUUUUCUUCUGCCAAAUGUCUUAUCGGUUAUUCUUCUGUGCUUCAGCCAAGCUGACUCACUGAUACAACACUCACGCCAGUCAACUUAGAAUCAUGGAACAUUUGGAACAAGAGAACAGAGAGCUGAAGGAUGAGAUUGCACGAUUGAAUGCUAUGAUGGAGUUUGUUCUUGCUGCGCAUAAUCACUCUUCACCAACUCCCGCAACUUCUCCCCAGAGGACUGUCAUCUCCGUG